GGACGAGCAGCAGUAGCAGCAGUAUUCACGGAGGAAGAGAACAAAUGAAGAUAUGACAUCACAGAUGCCAAGAGGUAAUGUGUAUUGCAGAAAUUUUCAAGAACAAAUAUGUAAAAGAGAAGAAACUAAAAUUACCAGUUACCCCAAUUACUCCAAGGGGCAGUGCUUGAAGAAAUGGAUAAACUUCGAGUAAUUCACACAAUAAGAAUGCACAAACUGAAUUUUCAACCUCAAAACAAAACCUGUCCAGUGAAGUAUGUUAAAUUCUGGUUAUCUGGUUGCCUACAUUUCUCCCAAUGUAUUUUCAAUUACCUAAAUCCGAGUUUGAAGUAAAAGUUCAUCCCUUCCGGGACAUCAGCCAUUUUUAUUUUCAUAUGCUCCCCUGGACUUGCCUGCAAAGUCUGUUGUUGCUAUCCCAGGCAUCACCCAGAACCACAAGUGCUGUGAGCCAGA
Long non-coding RNA from Myotis davidii, 453 nucleotides. RefSeq lists it as uncharacterized. Lineage: Eukaryota; Metazoa; Chordata; Mammalia; Chiroptera; Vespertilionidae. The record is from RefSeq and is a predicted model, not a curated record. The transcript has 3 exons.